AACGAACGCUGGCGGCGUGGAUAAGACAUGCAAGUCGAACGGGACACCAUGAGUAGCAAUACAAGUGGUGUCUAGUGGCGAACGGGUGCGUAACACGUGGAUACAUUCCGGGAAGCGGGGGAUAGCCCAGGGAAACUUGGAUUAAUACCGCAUGUGGUCGAAAGACUAAAGGCAGGGACCGCAAGGCCUGCCACUUCCCGAUUGGUCCGCGGCCUAUCAGCUAGUUGGCGGGGUAAAAGCCCACCAAGGCUACGACGGGUAGCUGGUCUUAGAGGACGACCAGCCACACUGGAACUGAGACACGGUCCAGACACCUACGGGUGGCAGCAGUCGAGAAUCUUUCACAAUGGGGGCAACCCUGAUGGAGCGACGCCGCGUGGAGGAUAAGGUCUUCGGAUUGUAAACUCCUGUCAUGUGUGAACAAGGUUGUCGUGAUAAUAGCAUGGCAAAUUGAUGGUAACACAAGAGGAAGAGACGGCUAACUCUGUGCCAGCAGCCGCGGUAAU
RNAcentral lists this ribosomal RNA (506 nucleotides) under uncultured bacterium. RNAcentral's name for it is "bacterial SSU rRNA". It matches the Rfam family "Bacterial small subunit ribosomal RNA", at positions 29 to 524 of the family's 1533-position model. The record is from RNAcentral.